Non-coding RNA from Schistosoma mansoni, 46 nucleotides. The record is from Rfam. NCBI's taxonomy places the organism in Eukaryota, Metazoa, Platyhelminthes, Trematoda, Strigeidida, Schistosomatidae.
CUUCUGAUGAGGAGUCCCAUAAUAGGACGAAACGGCCGUCCAGUGC